UGGUGCAACAGGCCAGUGGUU
RNAcentral lists this microRNA (21 nucleotides) under Chlamydomonas reinhardtii. RNAcentral describes it as "cre-miR1164". The record is from miRBase by way of RNAcentral. Lineage: Eukaryota; Viridiplantae; Chlorophyta; Chlorophyceae; Chlamydomonadales; Chlamydomonadaceae.